GACGAACGCUGGCGGCGUGCUUAACACAUGCAAGUCGAACGGAAAGGCCCUGCUUUUGUGGGGUGCUCGAGUGGCGAACGGGUGAGUAACACGUGAGUAACCUGCCCUUGACUUUGGUAUAACUUCAGGAAACUGGGGCUAAUACCGGAUAGGAGCUCCUGCUGCAUGGUGGGGGUUGGAAAGUUUCGGCGGUUGGGGAUGGACUCGCGGCUUAUCAGCUUGUUGGUGGGGUAGUGGCUUACCAAGGCUUUGACGGGUAGCCGGCCUGAGAGGGUGACCGGCAACAUUGGGACUGAGAUACGGCCAAGCCUCCUACGGGAGGCAGAAGUGGGGAAUAUUGAAAAAUGGGCGGAAGCCUGAGGCAGAAACGCCGCGUGCGGGAUGACGGCCUUCGGGUUGUAAACCGCUUUCGCCUGUGACGAAGCGUGAGUGACGGUAAUGGGUAAAGAAGCACCGGCUAACUACGUG
RNAcentral lists this ribosomal RNA (468 nucleotides) under uncultured bacterium. RNAcentral's name for it is "partial 16S ribosomal RNA". It matches the Rfam family "Bacterial small subunit ribosomal RNA", at positions 28 to 507 of the family's 1533-position model. The record is from RNAcentral.